CGUACACUCCUGCGGGAGGCAGCAGUGGGGAAUAUUGGACAAUGGGCGCAAGCCUGAUCCAGCCAUGCCGCGUGAGUGAUGAAGGCCCUAGGGUUGUAAAGCUCUUUCACCGGAGAAGAUAAUGACGGUAUCCGGAGAAGAAGCCCCGGCUAACUUCGUGCCAGCAGCCGCGGUAAUACGAAGGGGGCUAGCGUUGUUCGGAAUUACUGGGCGUAAAGCGCACGUAGGCGGAUCGAUCAGUCAGGGGUGAAAUCCCAGGGCUCAACCCUGGAACUGCCUUUGAUACUGUCGAUCUGGAGUAUGGAAGAGGUGAGUGGAAUUCCGAGUGUAGAGGUGAAAUUCGUAGAUAUUCGGAGGAACACCAGUGGCGAAGGCGGCUCACUGGUCCAUUACUGACGCUGAGGUGCGAAAGCGUGGGGAGCAAACAGGAUUAGAAACCCUAGUAGUCCCAU
RNAcentral lists this ribosomal RNA (452 nucleotides) under uncultured organism. Its description in RNAcentral is "partial 16S ribosomal RNA". It matches the Rfam family "Bacterial small subunit ribosomal RNA", at positions 330 to 798 of the family's 1533-position model. The record is from RNAcentral.